UGGCUCAGGACGAACGCUGGCGGCGUGCUUAACACAUGCAAGUCGAGCGGUAAGGCCUUUCGGGGUACACGAGCGGCGAACGGGUGAGUAACACGUGGGUGAUCUGCCCUGCACUUCGGGAUAAGCCUGGGAAACUGGGUCUAAUACCGGAUAUGACCUCCUAUCGCAUGGUGGGUGGUGGAAAGAUUUAUCGGUGCAGGAUGGGCCCGCGGCCUAUCAGCUUGUUGGUGGGGUAAUGGCCUACCAAGGCGACGACGGGUAGCCGACCUGAGAGGGUGACCGGCCACACUGGGACUGAGACACGGCCCAGACUCCUACGGGAGGCAGCAGUGGGGAAUAUUGCACAAUGGGCGAAAGCCUGAUGCAGCGACGCCGCGUGAGGGAUGACGGCCUUCGGGUUGUAAACCUCUUUCAGCAGGGACGAAGCGCAAGUGACGGUACCUGCAGAAGAAGCACCGGCUAACUACGUGCCAGCAGCCGCGGUAAUACGUAGGGUGCAAGCGUUGUCCGGAAUUACUGGGCGUAAAGAGUUCGUAGGCGGUUUGUCGCGUCGUUUUGUGAAAACCAGCAGCUCAACUG
Molecule: ribosomal RNA, 579 nt
Filed under: Rhodococcus sp. NCIM 2891
Lineage: Bacteria; Bacillati; Actinomycetota; Actinomycetes; Mycobacteriales; Nocardiaceae
Description: bacterial SSU rRNA
Rfam family: Bacterial small subunit ribosomal RNA
Source: RNAcentral